Molecule: long non-coding RNA, 1792 nt
Filed under: Ananas comosus (pineapple)
Lineage: Eukaryota; Viridiplantae; Streptophyta; Magnoliopsida; Poales; Bromeliaceae
Description: long non-coding RNA (ACOM_LNC023413)
Source: RNAcentral
GACGAGUCUACGCGAAGAUAUUGAAGAAAAAGCUUGUUUCGGUACAGAUUGCCGCAGCUCGCGGCGAAAGCUUCCAAAUAUCACGAAAUCGGAACCCUAGCCUCUUGGUAGCAUUAAAAGGUGGGGGGUGUCCAUCCCGAAGCAACUGGGCUUCCUUCUAUGUCCGAGUUAGAUUUUUGGUCAUAUUGCACAUAUUGUUCUUAUGCAUUAUAGGAUGUAUGUAUAGGUGCAUUUCUAUUUCCUUGCAUGCAUGUCUAGUUGUGUAGCAUUAUGGACUUGACACUUAAAUCUAGAAUGCAUGAGGAUUAGGGUUUGUGACAUGAGAUCCUAUAGUGAUAAGAAAACAGUGAACUCGGACUUGAUGAUGAAAACUAGUGACAUGCGAACUAGUGUAUAGAAAACAAUUAUAACUUGGACGAGUGGCAUGUAAACAAUGAUAACAACAUGACGAGUGGUAUUGGAACUUAGUGUAAUAGAAACACUUGUGGCAUUGAGCAUAGUGAAUAGGUAAGUUUCCCUAGUCAUGGCAUAUUGCAUGAGAAUUAGUGUAAUUGAGACACUAUGGCAUCAAACAUAGGGAUAGUUCAAUUCCCUAGUGUGAGUUGAUUAGUGUGGUUGAGACACUUGACAUGGACCUAGGGAUAGGUGGAUUUUCGAGUGUUGUUAACCUAGUUGACAGGGUAUCCUCAGUUGGCGAAGAUUGGAUCAUAUCACAAGUCUGUUUUGAGCUUGUGGUGGUCGCUCCACACAAGUAGUGCACUCCGGAGUUAUCACAUGAGCUGGGUAGCUCACGAGCUGGGUAGCUCACUGGGUGGGAUACGAGCGGGCUAGCUCCUCACCUAUUGCUGGAGUUGUCACACGAGCUGGGUAGCUCACGAGCGGGGUAGCUCACCUGGUGGGAUACGAGCGGGGUAGCUCCUCACCCAUUGGACUAGAAAGUGAGUUGGGGCGAAUGGCGGGGUAGCCCUUCCCCUAUGAGGAUUGAGCGGGGUAGCUUAUUACUUAUGAGAAUUGAGCGGGGUAGCUCAUUACCUAUGAGAUUAGAGCGGGGUAGCUCUUCACCUAUGGCUUGAGAUGUGAGACGGGUGAGAUAAGAGCGGGGUAGCUCCUCACCUGUGAGAUUUGAGAUAUCGGUCGUGGCGAAGAGCGGGAUAGUUCUUCACCUCUUCACCUACUAGAUUGUGGUGUGAGUACCUAUGAGAUUUGAGAUCUUAGGCGGGGUAGCGUAGUGGAUUGGGUAAUGACAUGAAUAGCAUAAGUGGAUUUGCAUUCAUCCCCUGAUUAAACAUAGUAUAUGUUAGUGGAUUGCAUAACUAUGUUGUAUUUGUAUUCAUUACAUUGUUGAAGCAUAUUAUCAUGAUAGUAGGCUUAUUGCUAGACGAUAUUUCAUGCAUUGCUUGCAUUUGAUGGCACAAUAGAUCAUAGUUGCAGUUCAAUAUCUAUCUAUUUCUCUAUCUAUCUAUUUGUGCCAGCUUAGACCUAGUGGGAAGAUCGGCGGAGUCGGCGGCCGAACCCACUGGGAACUAUAUUUAUAUAGUUCUCACCCCAUGUGGUUUUGGGGUACAGGUACACGCGAGAGCGGACCGGCAGGUGAUCGCGAUAAGGGCGUAUCGCCCUAGCUAGCUAGUUGAGCUUUCCUAUUGUACUAGAGCACCUUCGUGUGCAUGGUUAUAGAUGACAUGAUGUACUUUGGAUAGCUAGCAUUAUUUAUGUUUGUGAGAGGAUCAUGUAUUCAUUUUUGGGAGAUGGAAAUGUAAAUCAAAUCAAUGUUGAAUGUGAUGUAAUAGCUAGA